This 370-nucleotide long non-coding RNA is filed under the name Mus spretus (western wild mouse). RNAcentral's name for it is "lncRNA (ENSMSPG00010032272.1)". Lineage: Eukaryota; Metazoa; Chordata; Mammalia; Rodentia; Muridae. The record is from RNAcentral.
GAUAACUCUCCAGGUGCCAGUCCUUGAGACCUUAGAGAAAUAACAAGCUCGAGGGAGACCAUGGAAAAAGUACAAGCCGUGAUUUCAGACUGAGGUCCGCCUCCAAGGGUCUGAUCUGUGUCAGCUAAAACCAGAGCUGGUGGUGACCAACUACAUCGAUGAACUCGAUCCCUCCUUCCCUCCCUUUCUCCAUCCUUCGGAGAUCUAAUGGCAGUUCCAGCUGUGAGACGUGGCACCCUUGAGCUUCCUUGUUACAAGCUUGGAGAGAUAGCAUCAGGGUGCCAAGCAGAUCAACUCUGAAGGAAGCAAUGAGAUCCAGAAACAAACCUAUGGGAGUUGAUUUAACUUCAUAGAUGUUAUGUUAAGACUU